GCCCAGAUGGCGGAACUGGUAGACGCGUCAGACUCAAAAUCUGGUUCUCGCAAGGGAGUGCAGGUUCGAUUCCUGUUCUGGGCA
Niastella vici is the source of this 84-nucleotide transfer RNA. It matches the Rfam family "tRNA". Rfam says of the family: Transfer RNA (tRNA) molecules are approximately 80 nucleotides in length. Their secondary structure includes four short double-helical elements and three loops (D, anti-codon, and T loops). Further hydrogen bonds mediate the characteristic L-shaped molecular structure. tRNAs have two regions of fundamental functional importance: the anti-codon, which is responsible for specific mRNA codon recognition, and the 3' end, to which the tRNAs corresponding amino acid is attached (by aminoacyl-tRNA synthetases). tRNAs cope with the degeneracy of the genetic code in two manners: having more than one tRNA (with a specific anti-codon) for a particular amino acid; and 'wobble' base-pairing, i.e. permitting non-standard base-pairing at the 3rd anti-codon position. NCBI's taxonomy places the organism in Bacteria, Pseudomonadati, Bacteroidota, Chitinophagia, Chitinophagales, Chitinophagaceae. The record is from Rfam.